This 253-nucleotide ribosomal RNA is filed under the name uncultured bacterium. Its description in RNAcentral is "partial 16S ribosomal RNA". It matches the Rfam family "Bacterial small subunit ribosomal RNA", at positions 524 to 776 of the family's 1533-position model. The record is from RNAcentral.
UACGGGGGGGGCAAGCGUUGUUCGGAAUUACUGGGCGUAAAGGGUUCGUAGGUGGCCUACUAAGUCAGACGUGAAAUCCCUCGGCUCAACCGGGGAACUGCGUCUGAGACUGGAAGGCUUGAGUGCAGGAGAGGAACGCGGAAUUCCAGGUGUAGCGGUGAAAUGCGUAGAUAUCUGGAGGAACACCGGUGGCGAAGGCGGCGUUCUGGACUGCAACUGACACUGAGGAACGAAAGCCAGGGGAGCAAACGGG